AACGAACGCUGGCGGCAUGCCUAACACAUGCAAGUCGAACGAGACCUUCGGGUCUAGUGGCGCACGGGUGCGUAACGCGUGGGAACCUGCCCUUAGGUUCGGAAUAACUCCCCGAAAGGGGUGCUAAUACCGGAUAAUGUCUUCGGACCAAAGAUUUAUCGCCUUUGGAUGGGCCCGCGUUGGAUUAGCUAGUUGGUAGGGUAAAAGCCUACCAAGGCGACGAUCCAUAGCUGGUCUGAGAGGAUGAUCAGCCACACUGGGACUGAGACACGGCCCAGACUAGGAGGGGAGGCAGAGGUGGUGAAGAUGGGACGAUGGGCGAAGGGCUGGACGAGCGGCGCGGCGCGGGUGAUGGAGGCAUGAGGGUUAUAAAGCUCUGGUCCCCGGGAAGAUAAUGACAGUAGCGAGGGAAUAAGCUCCCGCCAACGCCGGGCCAGCAGAGUCGGUAAUAGGGGGAAGAGCACAGGGCUGAAC
RNAcentral lists this ribosomal RNA (474 nucleotides) under uncultured bacterium. Its description in RNAcentral is "partial 16S ribosomal RNA". It matches the Rfam family "Bacterial small subunit ribosomal RNA", at positions 30 to 543 of the family's 1533-position model. The record is from RNAcentral.